Molecule: long non-coding RNA, 534 nt
Filed under: Manacus vitellinus (golden-collared manakin)
Lineage: Eukaryota; Metazoa; Chordata; Aves; Passeriformes; Pipridae
Description: lncRNA (ENSMVIG00005012995.1)
Source: RNAcentral
ACAGUCUGAGGUCAGGUCGGAACAUUAGACUGUGGGACAGCAGGGCUGUGGCUAGGCCUUGGCAAGGUUGCCUUGCAGCAGAGCCAUCAUCCCCGGUGUAGGUUAGACCUGGUCACAGCUUCCCCACAGCAUAGUCCAGAGCUCCUCUCUUUUUUCCAUGGAACAUGGCCCAGUGUUGGCCCUCCUGGGAGAGGGGGCCUGGCAGGAAUAAGGAACCAGGUUUUGUCAUGUGUCUGUAUAACUAGGGAAAAAUUUUUCUUCAGAACAAGAGGACUGCUCAGCCAUGGGGUCAUUCAGCAUCACUCGACCAUGAAUGUCCUGCAACAGGAAGAAACUACUGUCAACAGAUAUCCAUCAGAACACUGCUCAGGCACUGAAUGAAAAUGGUCCAUGCAAAUGUUUUACAGCUGCUCCUAAAAGUACAUUUAACAGAGCUGAAGACAUUAUCUCAGCAUCAGGUCAUUUCCCUCACAUUCUAACCCCGGAGAGAAGAAAGGCAUAAAAACCUGACGAGUAUGAUUUUGCCAAGGGCAG